GGGGAAUAUUGCACAAUGGGGGAAACCCUGAUGCAGCGACGCCGCGUGGAGGAAGAAGGUCUUCGGAUUGUAAACUCCUGUUGUUGAGGAAGAUAAUGACGGUACUCAACAAGGAAGUGACGGCUAACUACGUGCCAGCAGCCGCGGUAAAACGUAGGUCACAAGCGUUGUCCGGAAUUACUGGGUGUAAAGGGAGCGCAGGCGGGAAGACAAGUUGGAAGUGAAAUCUAUGGGCUCAACCCAUAAACUGCUUUCAAAACUGUUUUUCUUGAGUAGUGCAGAGGUAGGCGGAAUUCCCGGUGUAGCGGUGGAAUGCGUAGAUAUCGGGAGGAACACCAGUGGCGAAGGCGGCCUACUGGGCACCAACUGACGCUGAGGCUCGAAAGUGUGGGUAGCAAACAGGAUUAGAUACCCUGGUAGUCCACACCGUAAACGAUGAUUACUAGGUGUUGGAGGAUUGACCCCUUCAGUGCCGCAGUUAACACAAUAAGUAAUCCACCUGGGGAGUACGACCGCAAGGUUGAAACUCAAAGGAAUUGACGGGGGCCCGCACAAGCAGUGGAGUAUGUGGUUUAAUUCGACGCAACGCGAAGAACCUUACCAAGUCUUGACAUCCCUUGACGAACAUAGAAAUAUGUUUUCUCUUCGGAGCAAGGAGACAGGUGGUGCAUGGUUGUCGUCAGCUCGUGUCGUGAGAUGUUGGGUUAAGUCCCGCAACGAGCGCAACCCUUAUGGUCAGUUACUACGCAAGGGGACUCUGGCCAGACUGCCGUUGACAAAACGGAGGAAGGUGGGGAUGACGUCAAAUCAUCAUGCCCUUUAUGACUUGGGCUACACACGUACUACAAUGGCGUUAAACAAAGAGAAGCAAGACCGCGAGGUGGAGCAAAACUCAGAAACAACGUCCCAGUUCGGACUGCAGGCUGCAACUCGCCUGCACGAAGUCGGAAUUGCUAGUAAUCGUGGAUCAGCAUGCCACGGUGAAUACGUUCCCG
This 995-nucleotide ribosomal RNA is filed under the name uncultured bacterium. RNAcentral's name for it is "bacterial SSU rRNA". It matches the Rfam family "Bacterial small subunit ribosomal RNA", at positions 356 to 1376 of the family's 1533-position model. The record is from RNAcentral.